GUAAAAAUUGGGAGCAAAACUGAGUAGUGCCAGGCCCUCCUGAAGGCCUAGGGGACAUAGUGGUAAAUAAGAUAGAAAAAAAAUCCUGUUCUUAUGGAGUUUACAAAUCGAGGAAAGGUGAUGAAAAUAAGACAAGACUGAUUCCUCAUUAUAGUUUUCUCUGUUGAACUAAAAUGCGGAGAAUAAAGCAGAAAGUAUGAAUAUGGAGGACACAUGAACUUGCAGUUGAAGAUGCAGUUCCUGGGUUCAACUCUGUUGCUUGGACAGCUAUGUCAUCUUAGCGCAUCCUACACCUGCUGAGCCAUUCAGGAAAAGAAACCACUUUCAUCUCAUGGAAUGACCAACCCCUGUGAUGGGCCUGGGCCAAGCCCUGUUGCCCAUCUCUCAGUGAGCCCCUUGGCCAUCCUACUGAGGACAAGCCACUGAAGGAAUUCCCUCCAGCCUGCUGCAUGCUGCUCGCUGGCCUUCUGCCAGCAGAUACUCUCCGGGGAAGCUGCUUCCACUUUCCUACUGCCUUUGGCUUUAGCCUUUUCCAGACUUGAUAACUAGACAUUGACUAUGUCCUGUGCCUUUGAUCCUGCUCAGCUCUGUUCCUCCCCACCCUGCCAGGGAUACAACCUGCAGAACUCUGGGGUGGACAACUCCAUUCAAGAAGAUGCAGCAUGGCAAGAAGCAAGAUUCUUUUUUUGGUCACUCAUUACCUGAAUUCCUUCACUCUCUACUUCAGUGUUGACUGACUUUACAAAGGCUACUGAAGUUGGCAUUUUUGCUUAUUUUACUGAUGUCCAUCAGAUGCAUGUAGGUACCCAGGAUCAUCAUCGUAGCAGCCCAUCUCAAAGGGCCUAUGUUGUUAAUUAUCAAUUAGCAAAGGCUCAUUUGCAUAUUUUGUGUACUACUUAUGUAAUAUUUAAUUAUCUUUUUAAAAAAUAUAUUUUAUUUAUUUAUUCAUGAGAGAGGCAGAGAACACAGAGA
Molecule: long non-coding RNA, 972 nt
Organism: Canis lupus familiaris (dog)
Lineage: Eukaryota; Metazoa; Chordata; Mammalia; Carnivora; Canidae
Exons: 3
Source: RefSeq, a predicted model, not a curated record